This 253-nucleotide long non-coding RNA is filed under the name Nicotiana benthamiana. RNAcentral describes it as "long non-coding RNA (NBEN_LNC034066)". Lineage: Eukaryota; Viridiplantae; Streptophyta; Magnoliopsida; Solanales; Solanaceae. The record is from RNAcentral.
UCACAAAUCACAUAAAGACAACAUGAACUUAGUAUUCAAAUAAAAGUAUAUCGGAAGUAAAAAAACCUCAAUGACGGUCGCCGAGAAGAAUAUACUAAACUAAAAUCGAAGACCGUCGAAUCGGACCUCGGAACGACAACCUCGAAGCUUACCCGAAAAAUUCGAAACUCAACAGUGAUUUCAGGACUGAUUUUUAGUGUUGUGAUGCAGCUGAUUUUGGGUGGUUUUAAUGGUGUUUUUCGAGCUGAUUUUU